Long non-coding RNA from Hordeum vulgare subsp. vulgare (domesticated barley), 3701 nucleotides. RefSeq lists it as uncharacterized. The transcript has 4 exons. The record is from RefSeq and is a predicted model, not a curated record. NCBI's taxonomy places the organism in Eukaryota, Viridiplantae, Streptophyta, Magnoliopsida, Poales, Poaceae.
UAUUUCACCCUCCAUGUAAAUAGACUACCUACGGGGCCCUUUUCACUUUUACUACUUCUUCUUCCUCUCGUCUCCAAUGCCACAUCCGAGCUCGCCGGAGUUCAAGUCAUGAGAGGGCUCAUCCCCACGUUGUCUUCACCGGAGUCCAUCUGCAUCACCUGUGGCCUUCCUUGGGAGCACUACAACCCGCGAAGAUCUCCUCUGCUCGAAUCUCACGAGUCCCGAUUAACUUUUAGGUCUAUGUUGUUCUUCAUAGUUCAUCAGAGAUGUUGCCUCAAUUUCAUCAAAGUUUAUCAACACCUUAGUUGUUGAUCUAGUUGCUUGUGCAACCUUCAUCGAUGGUGAUUAGUUUCAUCUCCGCUGUGUUCCUAUAGCAUUGUGGAUCUGCCUUGGUUUGUCCAUAAGAUUCGCAGAGGCUCCCACUUUUAGCGUUUUUGCUAGUUUUAGGGCCUUUUAUCAUCUUUUUUCCGUAUUUAUUAGAUCCAUCCAUCUCACUACUUUGGGAUAGAAAAUGUUUGUUCAUCCACUGCUUUAGAAAAAUUUCUAAGUGCUUUAGACCUCAUCAGUAGCAAACUCUCAUACUAGUUUGCAAUUCCUUGGUCGUAUUUUAGCCUCCUUAAGCUAGUGCCGACUCAUAUGUACUUUCCAAAUUUCCUUUGGAGAAAUGGCCCCUAAAACCAACAAAGCGGUUAACUGGACGAAGUCAAUCAUGUCUGAACUUGUCUUGCAAGAUUGGGUUGACUGCAGGUUUUUGCCUCCCAAAGGGGAAAUACAAUGGUGUGCCCGUGAAGAAGAAACUAACCCUAGGCCGGGUCAAAAUGAAAUCAUUUGUUUCGUGGACCAUAUUGACAGAGGUUUCCACCCGUGUGGUUCAAAAUUCUUCCGUGAUGUGCUCCACCACUUCAACAUCAAACCUCAAGACCUUGGUCCCAAAUCUAUCUUAAACUUGUACCAAUUUCAAGCAUUCUGCAAGAUGUAUCUUCAAAUGGAGACGAAGAUAAAUCUAUUUAAGGAAUUUUUACUUCAACCACCAGACGGAAUGCAAAAAUGGAUCGAGUGUAGAACUUGGAGGGGUCACUGUUCAAAGGAGGAAAAACUGAGUCUUCCCUGAUGUGUCCUUCAGUGAUCCAAAAGGAUGGAGGAAGACCUCGUUUUAUUGCACAGCCACUUCUCCUCCGGGUCAAAAUAGAUUGUCGGAUUAUAGAUCUAGCCGGCGCAGCACCACAAUGGCUUUCCUUGUUUUGCUCAUGGGGAAGAGAGGCAAAUAAUGGGAUUAAUUUAUUCCAAGAUCCAAGCACUGGUUGCCCUUGGGCUUACUGGUAUCGAUUUGACUCGGUGCUUUGUCGGCUGGCGGGUCUAACCUCUUUGCCAAAGGACCAAGCUGAUGCAUCAGUACAGUGGAUAACCGACUAAUGAUAUGCGCUUCAGUCUAGUGGAUCUGCGGAAACUAGAGUUAAGUGAGUAGUUAAGAAGCUACCCGGGGCAAAAUAGCCUUUGUUGGUCUCGCCCAAUUUUUUACUGGUAACCCGACUCCUCCAAUAAGUCAAAUUCCCUUCGCUGUGUUUCUUGUAGUUUUUUGUUAUUUUCACUUGUUGAUUAUUCCUCUUUUAUCACUUUGGCUCACGAAUAUUUCUGGUCGUGGAAUACUUGAUCCUGAGUCGUCCCCCCUCCUCAAGAAAACAUAGAAGAGUCGGGAAAUAAUGAGGACGCCGAGGUAGACGUUGACUUCCUGGUCUAUUUGUUUAACCAACUUCCUGAUGCUAAUUCUUCUCAGGAACAUGUUGAGUCAAAUCGAGCCAGUGAUACUGAGGUAAACCUUGCUCCAAACUUGGAACCAUUUAUCACAAAGAGGGUGAGACUAGUUGUCUGCAAGUGAAAGACAUGGAGCAGCUCUACACAGCUUUCAAGUGGGCUUCCAAAUGAGCCAACUCCCAGAAAGGCAAGGACCCAGGAGAAGUUUAGUCACACGAUGUCUCAUCGACAAGCUGGCCAAUUCAAAGAGCCGUUGGAUCCCACCAACCCGGUAUAUGAGUAAAACCCCUCAUCUCAUGGAUCUAGCUCAAGUAUCGGCUUUUAACAUUAACCAUGGGACAUUUUGAAGAGUCAAAUUGGCGGGUCAUCAUCUUCUGCAAUGGAUAUUGAUACUGCACCUCAAAAUCCUUCAACUUCUCUAGAGCCUCAAGCUCCCAGAGUCCUUGAUGAUGAGCCGACAUUUCAGAAUGAGCCAACUUUGCCACAUGAGCCGGAUAUGCCCGCCUGUGUCUCAAAUCCAGUAAAAACAACACAUGUGCCCACUUCCGAGCCGGAAUUGGAGAUUGUUCAAGAAUAUGUGGCUAUUGUGGGUGAUGUGUAAGGUACUCCUCCAGUGCAUUCUACCACCUUGGUUGAGAUAAUAGCUAAGGAAGAGUCACCUAGCAAGGACAAAGAAAAACUAGCCUACAAUAUUCAUCUUAUGAAGACUUGGAUGUAAAUUCCUUGCAUUAGAAUCCUUGACCUGGAUAUCUGAGAGUCGGGACGCAGAAGCUAUGAUGAUCCAUACUCUAAAGAGAAAAUACAAGGAAAUGUUGAACCAGACGGAAACACAAGUUGUAGGAUUGUUGAAAAAUCCGAAGGUUGAGAAGAAACUACGAGAAAAAGGAAAAAGAUGUAUUCAGACUUCCACAAGUCUCUACUCGUGUGCAGAGAACAAUUGCAAAGGCACAAGAAGAUUUUGAAAUAGAGAAAGUCGUCUUGAUUGAUCAUGCUGAAAAGGCCGAGCCCGUGGCCAAAGAGCUGUAAACUCUCUAUGGCCAUAUUCAGUCAAUGUGCAUAGCCAUCUUUGGUAAGUGCUCGUUGCCUUACUGUGAUUUUUCCAGAAAAAAUAUUACUGGAUCAAAAAUGUGUUAGGGUACCUGAUUUAGUGUGUUUGCUUUGACAGGAAGAAAAUAUCAUAGUUUGAGGGAGCUGCCCUUGACCAAACUAAAUGCUUGUUAUAAAUUUAUGGAUCAACUCUAGGUAGGUGGUGCCAAUUGUAUUAUGGCAAUCAAGAACACAAAGGCACCACCGUAUUAUAUGAUGGAUAUGUUGAAUGAUCUAUCAAUUGUACCACAACGGAUCAAAGAAUUGAAAAAAUCGCUUGCCUAUCUAGAGUAAUGAGUCCGUUGACGUGGGCUAAAGCAUAUCACCCGGAGAUGAAUCAGGAUCUUCUAGCGGGAGGAUUUAUAGGUUCAAUGUUGACAACACUACUUUCACCAAAAAGAAUUAUCUCCGAUGUAUGAGAUCAACCCGAGUUGCGACAACUAAAAUCACCGAGGAGUUGGACUUGACAAAAUUUGAAGCCAGAUAUGAUGACAAUGGGGAAUGCCAAGAUUGUCGUGCCAAAACCGUUUGAGCUGGCUUUCCCACGUAAGCAAUCUUUUGCCUCAGACAUCGAUACUUGCUUAAAGACACCACAAUUUUUUAAGCUUUGUCUUCAAUUCCAUGGCUGCAAGACGACACCCAACAAAGGAAGCGACUGAAGCUGAUGAGACGACACAAACUCAACCUGGCAACACACGAUCCAAAGUAUUCUACGGCCGGGUCAUUGAUGCCAUACUUUUUUGCUUUUAAAACUUAGUCAAACGUAUUCUAUGGUAGGCUUGUAACAGGUUUAGUAAACUUUGUGGUAUUUGAGAAACUGCCAUCGUGCGUUGCAUAUUUAUUGUGAACUUUGGAUGAGAAAA